UCGCACCUACCGAUUGAAUGACUCGGUGAAAAAUUGGGACUGCGAAUCUGUUUGCUUCAUUGCGAGUGGACUUGUGGGAACUUUUUUAAACCUCACCAUUUAGAGGAAGGUG
This 112-nucleotide ribosomal RNA is filed under the name uncultured eukaryote. RNAcentral describes it as "partial small subunit ribosomal RNA". The record is from RNAcentral.